RNAcentral lists this ribosomal RNA (386 nucleotides) under Dasineura kellneri. RNAcentral describes it as "partial 12S ribosomal RNA". Lineage: Eukaryota; Metazoa; Arthropoda; Insecta; Diptera; Cecidomyiidae. The record is from RNAcentral.
UAUUAUUAACGAUUUAAAUUUUAAAUUAUUAUAAAUAAUAUUAAAAAAUUAAAUAAAAUGGCAGUAUUUUUAAUAAUUAGAGGAUUUUGUUAUUUAAUAGAUAAUACACUUUAUAAUAUAUUUAAUUUUAUAAUUAUUGUAUAUUGUUGUAUUAAACAUGUAUAAUAUAAAUUAUUAGUAUGACUUUCUAGCAAUAAAAUAAUUCAAAUAAAUAUGCAUAUUAUAAUUAAAUUAUAAAUGAAAUACAAUUAUUUUAAAAAAUUGAAUUUAUAUUUGUGAUAAUUAAAUGAAAUUGGAUUUAAAAGUAAAAUAAAAUAGAUAUUUGUAUUGAAUUUUAUUAAAAAUAUGUACAUAUUGCCCGUCGUUUUUAAUUAAUAUUAAAGUAA